AUUGAACGCUGGCGGCAGGCCUAACACAUGCAAGUCGAACGGUAACAGGAAGAAGCUUGCUUCUUUGCUGACGAGUGGCGUACGGGUGAGUAAUGUCUGGGAAACUGCCUGAUGGAGGGGGUUAACUACUGGAAACGGUAGCUAAUACCGCAUAACGUCGCAAGACCAAAGAGGGGGACCUUCUGGCCUCUUUCCUUCUUCUGUGCCCAGAUGGGAUUAGCUAGUCGGUGGGGUAACGGCUCACCUAGGCGACGAUCCCUACCUGGUCUGAGAGGAUGACAAGCGAAACGGGAAAGGAGAAAAGGUCCAGAGGCCGACGGGAGGCAGCAGAGGGGAAUAUGGCACAAUGGGCGCAAGCAUGAUGCAGCAAAGCCGAGUGUAUGAAGAAGGACUUCGGGUUGUAAAGUACUUUCAGCGGGGAGGAAGGGAGUAAAGUUAAUACCUUUGCUCAUUGACGUUACACGCAGAAGAAGCACCGGCUAACUCCGUG
Molecule: ribosomal RNA, 490 nt
Filed under: uncultured bacterium
Lineage: Bacteria
Description: partial 16S ribosomal RNA
Rfam family: Bacterial small subunit ribosomal RNA
Source: RNAcentral